RNAcentral lists this long non-coding RNA (3981 nucleotides) under Homo sapiens (human). RNAcentral's name for it is "HSALNT0079794". The record is from RNAcentral. Lineage: Eukaryota; Metazoa; Chordata; Mammalia; Primates; Hominidae.
UUGCCAUCAGAACUUAUAAACAAAAAACAUUAGUCAUGCAUACAUAUAUAUGUAUAUCCAUUUAUUUAUAAGGUUUAAACAAUUAUGUAUGAAAAUUAAAAGAAAUUAAAAGAGAAUUAAAGAUGAUGCUUAGUAUCAAUGUUAUAAUAAGUAAAAGCAUUAAGUUAAAUCAACACAUCACUAUAACAUACUGGGAGUAUAUGAAAUUAAAUAAAAAUAUGUUUCAUUUUCAAGAAAAGCUUAUGAAUACCAGAUUGAGCUAUAAAGUUUUGCUUCUGAAGUCAAAUUGAUUAAAAUAAAAACUAACUUGUUUUCAUCUUCUUUACAGCCUAAGCUUGUACAUGGCUGGGAGAGAUUAUCUUAAUCUUUUUCUUUAGUUUAUUAAGGAUAGAUCUAACAUGAUUAUGUCAAAGAUUGAUUGACUUUGAGCACUGAAAGGUAUUUUGGAGGUCAUUUAGUCAAUGAUAUUUUCCUAUAUCUGGAAAUCUCUUUAUGAACUUGUUGGGGAACAGUGAAAACUUAAAAUCUUAGCCAAGAAGUAUAAUUAGUAAAGUUAUGAAUUGUUGUCCUCAGAAAGUGUGGAGGAUAUUAAGAUUCCCAUCAAAGUAGAGCUAAAUAUACUUUCUUUCCCAUAGUCUCGCCCAGUGGAAGUUGGAAUCUAGAUUUCAAAAGCUGUCCAUAACUCUCAAAAGCCUCUAGAUACUAUAUUAAAAUAAUGUUCUUCUCUAGUCUAUGUUGAAACUACUUAUUAUUAUAGAUAUAAAUAGAAAAUAGCAGGGAAUAAGAGCCACUAAUUAAAAUAUUUGGUUGCUUCUUUUUGUAACUUUAUUUGAUUUAAAAAACAAAAAUUAGCUAUGGGGACAGUUUAGUGUAGGAGUUAAUUGUACAGAUUCUUUAGUCAGACUGCCUGUUUUCAACCAUUGGACAAAUUACUUAAUGUAUUUGAACUACAGUUUCCUCACUUGUAAAACAGGAAAAAUAACAGAUCAAUAUACUCCAGUGCUGAGAAGGUUAAAAAUAUUACCUACCCCACAGGUUUGCAAGUGUGAUGCUUAAAGCAAUGAUUGCAAAAUGUUAAGUCCUCACAAACUGUUAGUUAAUAUUGUUUUUGAGGUGGUGGUUGUUAUUGCUGUGUUUGAAGUCAAUGAUUAAUGAAACUAAACCCCUUUUGUCCACCUUAUAUAAAUGUAAUAUGUCCACUGACAGUGAAUGCAUAGUGAAAAGAGCUGCACCAUGUCAAACUAAAAGAUCUAGAUCACCCUUGUCAGUUACUUGCUUGGCAAUUCAACCUGUCUGAGCCUGGAACUUCCCAUUUUAUAAUGGUGAUAGCAUUGCCUGGCCCACCUUGCUCAACUAAGAUACUAAGAGGAUCAAAUGAGACAUCUUCGAAAGCUUCUUGUAAAAUUUAAAGGACUACAUAACUCUGUUACCGAUUGUUUGGAGUUAGUAACAAUAAGCCAAGGACUCACAUAUGAAACAUUGAGUGACAACUGACAAUCUGCAAGAAAAUCUCUUGCCUACAUCGACUUUUCAUGUUCAGAUUACUGGUUUUGUUGUUGUUGUUGUUGUUGAAAAUAAAAUCCAAAUCUAACUAGAUUCAUAACAUACAACUAUAUUAUCAGUUUUCUAACAAAUAUAGCAUGAGUAAAAAUAAUGAAAAGGAGAUAAAUUGUCCAUUAAUAUGUUUACAUAAAGCAUGAGCUUUUUUUUUCCUGAAUGGGUGCUUCAUCAGCAACAUAAAAAGUUAAAAUUAGCUUAUGCUAAUGUAUUAAAAUCUUACUAAGUUUUAUUGACAUUUGAAGCAAAAGAAUUGCAUUGAGUGUAUUUACUGGUAUGCUUAUAAAACAUACAUCUGUAAUAAAAUGCCAUUUAGAAUAUAUUUUGAAGGAUCUUUAACUAUGACUUACAGUGUCUCCACAUGAUAGUUCCCCCAUGUGACAAAAAACAUCAAAAUAUCAACCUAAAAUAUGGAAACAAAAAUACUUAAACUGGUUUGGCCACAUUUAAGGAACCAUUAAUGAUACUUCACUUGAGAAGCAUCAAUACCCUAUUGAAAAAAUUGGAAAGUAAAGCAAUAUUUGUUCCAGUGGAAUGAUUCUAAUGCUUUGUAGUUAAAACAAAAACAAAAAACAGGAGACCUUACCUCUAAAUAACCUUUGUGGUUUACAAAGUACUUUCACAGGGGUUAUUCCUUAUGGUUUUCUAUCAGGUAGAUAGUAUGUUGCUGUGUUUGCACAUGAGGACCUGCAGCCCAGAGCAGUGAGGGGCUCACACAUUAAUCAGGGUCUUCACUUGCCUCAUUGACCCAUUGCAGAUCACCUAACCCAAACCCACAACUCUUUCCUGAAGAUAUCAUUUUUUUUUCCUUUACGUGUCACGAGAAUCAACAGUUGGUGUUUUUUGUUAUAACACCUAGUAGAGUGGAAAGAAAUUAGAAGAUAAAUAUCUGCAACAUUAUAGAUAUGUAAAUUGGGAGAAUUCACAUCAUUUCCCUAAACUUUACUUUUCUUGUCUGUAAAAAUAAGGUAAUACAAAUAGCAACUUAUAUAGGGUUUUGUAGGGUUUUUGGUAAGGAUCAAAAGAGUUAACACUUACGAAAGCAUUUUAUGUAUAGUAAUAUAUAAUGUACAUUUAAUUUUCUGUCUUUAUUAUCAGGUUCUCUAUUUGAAUUAUAUGAAUUUUAAACAUUCUUAAAAUAAGAAAAUACCACAAAGGAGAUAAGAGCAUGAGUGGUACUCAUAAUGGUAUUCUAGCUUUUGGCCCUGCUGUGGACAAAUUGCUGAACGUCUCUAAACCUUAGUUUUCUCUCCUGAAAAUAAAGCAAUUACAGAGAUUAAAUGUGAUGAUAUCUAUAAAGGACAUAUUACAGUGAUUGAUACAUGGUGAUAUGGUUUGGCUGUGUCUCCACACAAAUCUCGUCUUGAAUUGCAGCUCCCAUAAUUCCCACCUGUUGUGGGAGGGACCCUGUGGGAGAUAAUUGAAUCACGGGGGCAGUUUCCCCCAUACUGUUCUCAUGGUAGUGAGUAAGUCUCACCAGAUCUGAUGGUUUUAUAAGGGGAAACCCCUUUGGCUUGGUUCUUAUUCUUUCUUUUGUCUGCUGCCAUGUCAGAUGUGCCUUUUGCCUUUUGCCAUAAUUGUGAGGCCUCCUCAGCCGUGUGGCACUGUGAGUCCAUUAAGCCUUCUUUCUCUUUAUAAAUUACCCAGUCUUGAGUAUGUCUUUAUCAGCAGUGUAAAAACGGAUGAACAUACACCGUAAAUGUGACUUUUAUCAUUCAUUUAAGCAUCCUGUUUAUAAAAAUGUAAAUAAUCCAUUUUCACAUAUGCUGUGUUUUCGAUAAAAUAACUUGCUUAAAUCCAAUCCUGGCAUCAUAGAUAAUUUAAGCCAUGGUUUUCUGAUCCCGUCCUCUUUUGUGACUCCAGUCCCACAGACAGGAACCAAAGCCAGCAGAACAAAGCAGCCCCAGAUGUGUUCUACUCUAUUAUCUGAAGUAAAUGAAAAUCAACCCUGAGGUAGAGAACCUCCUUCUACUACCAUCAAAGUCCUUGAUCUGUUUCCCAACAUGAAUUAACCUUUCCAUGUUUUCGUUACAUUUGAACAUCAGGAAUGUGUAGACGGAAGCAGUUCAUCCUGGGAGGUGAGAAUGAGCAUUGAAAGAGCCAUCCGUGAAACCGUAAGGCUGGGAAAGAGAAGUGAAGGGGCACAUGGAAGUGUUCAUCUCUGGGGCAGGGAAAAACAAUCCGGAGAAGAUGAGUCACACCUCAUUUGUAACCCAUGAAUGAAAAUCAAUACUGUUACUUAUCAUAAAUUACACUGAACAUAGUGCUUACACUUGAGUAUCAAUGCAGUAAAACCACUAUGAGCCAAUUGAUUGACUUUUCUAGAUCCCAAUUCUAUCAUUCAUCUUCUGGUAUUCAUCUUCUGGCUUAGCUACUAUUUCCUGGCACAGAUUCUUAAUAAAGAUCCUUUCUCCUUGGUCCCAG